UUAGAGCUCGUGAAAUAAUAAGCUCUACGGACUUUUUUAUGUGGACUUCUCUCGACAAAAAUUCUGGAGGACACAGCGCGCCCCGGGACUACGACGACUUCCUUCUACGAAAGACACAGAGACGGGUAUGUGUGUUUCACAGAGACUUUCUAACGAUCCAAGUCAUCAUCACCAACAUCUUCACAGAGUAGAAUUCCACCAGAUCCUUAACUGGAAAGCUUUCCAAAAAAGAGGAAAGCAUUAAGACAGGAGACUGAAGAAGUCCACAGCAUGAAUUAUGAGGGUCACGCUGGUGUCUCAGCCCGGCGUUGUGCCGACGUGAGGCACGCUGAGGGUUCCUCAAAGACGAAGAGCCCGCGGGGUCGUCUAUCCCACGUUGUGUUUUGUGCUGCAUCUAAUCGAACGAAAGUCCCACCGAUCUGUCGUAGGGAAGCCGAUUGGCGAAACUUUCAUUCUAAAAGACGGAACAGUUCGGUCGCUGAUUUCCUGAGAUGCGGGGUCAUGCUGUACGUCCCGUGUCCGAGAAGCUAUGGGCCGCAUCUUACUUUAAACAAGAGGGUGCUCUCCAAAAGUUGUCAAAUUCCUUAACCGUAACGGGCCUACCGAUUAUGCCCAUACCAAUAGCUUAAGGUGUACUUUCAAUGUUAUUCCAAACCUUCAUCCUUAAUCCCAGCUGAAUAAUACACGAGUCGAUCUGAGUCAUGAUGUAAACGUAACAGGCAGUAGUGUAAGAUAUAUGUAGAACAUGCAUUUAAGAGCUUAUUGCACAACGCAAUAUUCCUUUGCAGUCGCGGCGAUUAGGUGAAACAAGGUGCAUUACAUCCUUCUCAGUAGCUCCUUAAGCAAAAAGGCCACUGGUUGCCUUUAUCGACUAAAGGACAAUUUCCAGGCGCCCAUUGCAUAGAGCUCCAGCAUGCCGUCACGCAGCAGUUUUAGGAUUGGGGGGGGGAAGAAAAAAAAAG
This 962-nucleotide unclassified non-coding RNA is filed under the name Acanthaster planci (crown-of-thorns starfish). Its description in RNAcentral is "uncharacterized LOC110986373, transcript variant X1". The record is from RNAcentral. Lineage: Eukaryota; Metazoa; Echinodermata; Asteroidea; Valvatida; Acanthasteridae.